AAGUCGUAACAAGGUAUCCGUAGGUGAACCUGCGGAUGGAUCAUUACUAAAGGACCUAUCCAACGUCCUGUGAACUGUUUUGAAAUUUUUGUCAGCGGUCUUCACCGGCUGCUGGCAUACCACAUAAACGUAUAACCUAAACUGAAAUCUACUAGUAAGAACUAAGAGAACUUUUAGCAACGGAUCUCUUGACUCUC
Molecule: unclassified non-coding RNA, 197 nt
Filed under: fungal sp.
Lineage: Eukaryota; Fungi
Description: partial internal transcribed spacer region
Rfam family: Eukaryotic small subunit ribosomal RNA (bases 1-46)
Source: RNAcentral